CUCAAAGAUUAAGCCAUGCAAGUGGCUAUAUUUAACCCGACAGUUUAAAUAAGUGUUAUCGUAUACUGACGCAUAUACAUACACACAGACCGACCGACACACGUGAUAAUUUACGCAUAUCACUUACGCAACUGCAGACAGCUGCUUAAUACAGUCACACUUGUCUUGACUUGGCACCCAACCCACACACAUGACAAUACGCAUAUUAUAUUCUCCACUCACGCAUCGAAUAUUUUAUGUGAUAAAUAGUGUAUUGAUUUCUCUGUAACACACGCGCUUAUUCAUUCGAUUAAUUUUUGCGUUACACAGUGACAAUUUUUUUCAUCUUAUGGAUAACUCAGGGAAAGCUUGGCUAAUACGUACGAGACCCACACACACUAUAUACUCAGCACUCAAUGGUAAACUUUGCGAUUCGCUUCGGCAUUCGCUAUAUAAGUUUAACUGCAACAUGAGAGACAUUGAGCACGCCGUAUUAUUUCUUCAUUGCUAAUAAUACAUCCGCUGAGCAGACUUUGCGAAUUUUUUAUAUUUGCGAAGCAUGUCAUACAAGCAUCUACAGCAUCAAGUCACAGGGUUGGCAAGUGUAUUUUUGAACCUUCAAAGCAGUAACGCAUACGGAAGAGUAGUUUCUGAUCCCAUAGAAGGAGCACCGUACAAUGAGAGACCGCUCUUAGUUCUAAGGAACGCAGCAGGCGCGUAAAUUGCCCAAUGUUAGUACCCUACUAUUGCUAAUAUAUACGCACGACAUAUCAUUUAUUCUGUCACAACACACACAUACAUCCUUGUUAUGCCGUCUCGUGUAAUUUAUUUUACUGAGGCAGUGACAAGCUGUAACGGUUGAGUAUAAAAAUGACGAGUGUCUGGCAUUGCCGCUCUUUCGGGAGCUUGGCAAUUUUGCCGACGCUUUGUGUGCUCAAUUGGAAUGCGGUGAGUUUAAGCAACUCAGAACCUUUGGAUUCGGUGUCUCUUACGAUUCACCAAUUCAUGUAUCUGAAUUUUCAAGUGGAGGGCAAGUCUGGUGC
This 1022-nucleotide ribosomal RNA is filed under the name Bolivina skagerrakensis. RNAcentral's name for it is "SSU rRNA". It matches the Rfam family "Eukaryotic small subunit ribosomal RNA", at positions 36 to 567 of the family's 1831-position model. Lineage: Eukaryota; Foraminifera; Rotaliida; Bolivinitidae. The record is from RNAcentral.